GAUGAACGCUAGCUACAGGCUUAACACAUGCAAGUCGAGGGGCAGCAUGACCUAGCAAUAGGUUGAUGGCGACCGGCGCACGGGUGAGUAACACGUAUCCAACCUGCCGAUUAUUCCGGGAUAGCCUUUCGAAAGAAAGAUUAAUACUGGAUAGCAUAACGAGAAGGCAUCUUCUUGUUAUUAAAGAAUUUCGAUAAUCGAUGGGGAUGCGUUCCAUUAGUUUGUUGGCGGGGUAACGGCCCACCAAGACAUCGAUGGAUAGGGGUUCUGAGAGGAAGGUCCCCCACAUUGGAACUGAGACCCGGUCCAAACUCCUACGGGAGGCAGCAGUGAGGAAUAUUGGUCAAUGGACGAGAGUCUGAACCAGCCAAGUAGCGUGAAGGAUGACUGCCCUAUGGGUUGUAAACUUCUUUUAUAUGGGAAUACAGUGGGCCACGUGUGGCUUUUUGUAUGUACCAUACGAAUAAGGAUCGGCUAACUCCGUG
RNAcentral lists this ribosomal RNA (485 nucleotides) under uncultured bacterium. RNAcentral's name for it is "partial 16S ribosomal RNA". It matches the Rfam family "Bacterial small subunit ribosomal RNA", at positions 28 to 507 of the family's 1533-position model. The record is from RNAcentral.